AUUGAACGCUGGCGGCAGGCCUAACACAUGCAAGUCGAGCGGAUGAAGGGAGCUUGCGCCUGGAUGCAGCGGGGGACGGGUGAGUAAUGCCUAGGAAUCUGCCUGGUAGUGGGGGAUAACGUCCGGAAACGGGCGCUAAUACCGCAUACGUCAUGAUGGAGAAAGUGGGGGAUCUUCGGACCUCACGCGAUCAGAUGAGCCUAGGUCGGAUUAGCUAGUUGGUGGGGUAAAGGCCUACCAAGGCGACGAUCCGUAACUGGUCUGAGAGGAUGAUCAGUCACACUGGAACUGAGACACGGUCCAGACUCCUACGGGAGGCAGCAGUGGGGAAUAUUGGACAAUGGGCGAAAGCCUGAUCCAGCCAUGCCGCGUGUGUGAAGAAGGUCUUCGGAUUGUAAAGCACUUUAAGUUGGGAGGAAGGGCAGUAAGUUAAUACCUUCCUGUUUUGACGUUACCAACAGAAUAAGCACCGGCUAACUUCGUG
Molecule: ribosomal RNA, 484 nt
Filed under: uncultured bacterium
Lineage: Bacteria
Description: partial 16S ribosomal RNA
Rfam family: Bacterial small subunit ribosomal RNA
Source: RNAcentral